Molecule: long non-coding RNA, 603 nt
Organism: Notolabrus celidotus (New Zealand spotty)
Lineage: Eukaryota; Metazoa; Chordata; Actinopteri; Labriformes; Labridae
Exons: 2
Source: RefSeq, a predicted model, not a curated record
CUCAGGUCGGUGUUUUAGAAAAACUCGUGAACAGUCCAAACGUUCACCUGAAGUCAAACUCAAACAGACUAACAUGAAGUCACAGCAGGUGGUCAGACUCCUCCUGUCUCUGAUUGGUUUAUAACCUCUGACCUGUUUCUCAGGUGAGAGUGUGUGUUUGUGAGAGUGUGUAUGAGUGUGUGUGUGUGUAUGUGUGUGAGUGUGUGUGUGAGUGUGUGUGUGAGCUCACCUUCCUGCCCGGCGCUGCUGUCCCUCCCUGUGUUUCAGCCAUGUUGUCUCUCCUCUCUGGAGGAAACAGAUUCAGGGCUUUGAGCUGCAGGUCCAGUUUUUCUGCUCCAACCGCCUCCUGCCGACCGAGCCCCUGCUGACGUCACAGCCUCAACCUGAGAGAAGAAGAAGAAGAAGAAGAAUGGGAGGAAGCAGGAGGAUGGGAGGUGAAAGGAAAAGGGCCGAGCUGGAGGAAGAGGAGGAGGAAACAUGGCGGCAGCAGAGAGACGGUUUUCUUCCUUUGACUGAGAAGCUUUAAAGUGAUAAAGUUCAGGACGGGACACGAGGCUCAGAACUGUGUGACUGUAGUUAUAAUAAAGCUUCCUGUAAUAAAGA